UGCAGUCCAAACUUAUACGUGAACCAUCGAAUUGUUGAACGCACUGCAUCGAUCCUUACCCAGGAACGAUAUGCCCCAUUGAGCGUCAUUAAGUCUUCGCGACCUCAACCUUUGUUGUUGUCCGGGUUCGGGAUACACGGGCUUCACGUUGCGCUUCCUUAGAUUCAUUGCCGGGCAGGAUCAAACACUGGCAUCCUUGUCAUAAAUGUCGAGGUCGCCAUAGUGUAUGCUUGCACAAGAUCAGGUCCUUGACCGGCCAGAUCAAAACCGCGAAUCCUUAGGGACAAGCGACUUUACUACAUGACCUCACGGGGGCAGGAUGACCCGCUAGACUUAAGCAUAUUAAUCAGCGGAGGAAAAGAAACUAACUAGGAUUCCCCCAGUAACUGCGAGUGAAGAGGGAAGAGCUCAAUGUGUGAAUCAGGCCGGGAUUAGCUCCUUGUUUGAGUUGUGCACUAUAGACGGCGGAUCAGCGUUUGGAAGCCUGUGGUGUAUGUCCGAUGAAACUCGGUGCCAUAGAGGGUCACAGUCCUGUACUUGCCUUAAGGCUUCUGCGCAUUUGACCGUCGCUCUGCGAGUCGCGUAGUUUUGUAUUGCUGCGCUAAUUGGGAGGUAGAGCCCUUCUAAAGCUAAAUAUGAUGACAUGACCGAUAGCACACAAGUACCGCGAGGGAAAGGUGAAAAGCAACCAUGCAGAAUGGGUUGAAACAGCAGUGAAAGCGUUACUGGGAUAAGGGUUGGGGAUUGCUUGUGCCGAUUGCGCGUGCUUCAGUGCUGCGCUGCCGGACGGCAUGCAUCGAUGCGGAUGGGGAGAACAGGUUCUUUGGGAAUUCGGCUGGAUCCGUCCAGUGUUGUAGCCCGAGGUUCAAUGGAGCCCCUCCUGAUCG
RNAcentral lists this ribosomal RNA (887 nucleotides) under uncultured Cantharellales. RNAcentral describes it as "eukaryotic LSU rRNA". The stretch from base 302 to 887 matches the Rfam family "Eukaryotic large subunit ribosomal RNA", at positions 1 to 571 of the family's 3401-position model. Lineage: Eukaryota; Fungi; Basidiomycota; Agaricomycetes; Cantharellales. The record is from RNAcentral.